RNAcentral lists this long non-coding RNA (1214 nucleotides) under Phoenix dactylifera (date palm). RNAcentral describes it as "long non-coding RNA (PDAC_LNC015401)". The record is from RNAcentral. Lineage: Eukaryota; Viridiplantae; Streptophyta; Magnoliopsida; Arecales; Arecaceae.
UUUUAGUCCACAUCAUUGUCAUGCGAGUCACAGGGAUUUUAAUUUAGGUGUUUGGAGGUAUGAAACACUAAUUUAAAUUGACUAGGGCGUUUGCUUAAAUUAAAUAUUUACUUGAUGAAUAGCUGAUAUUUUAUAUCACUGUAGUCCACCAUUGGCUUUUAGGUUUUAUUCUAGUUAGUCAUCAUUACUUAUCCCAGUCAGCCACUGCUAGUCCAAAUCAGGUUUCACAUAACCAAGGCAGUCUUGCUAGAUUCUCCCUUACUAAAAGAAGAAUAGAAUAUAUGUAGCCUCACUUCCCAUGGGCAAAAAGAAAGGGGAUCUGGUUUCCGUUUGGUGAGGUAAAGAUAAGGAUGGGCAAGGGGAAAAUAGCAAAAAGAAUAAAGGAUAGAAGCAAGAAGGAAAUAAAGAGGGAAAGAAGGAAAAGGUUGGCUGCAUUUCACACCAGCUCAUGUUCCUCUCAGUGGCCCCACCUAAGAAAAUUUUUCUUUCUAUUUUUCAGAUAAAGAUGGUGGAUGUGCAUAGGAUUAAGUUGAUUUUUUAGUUCCCAGUUUCUAGAGGUAGUUCAUCAUGUCCCUAACUAUAUAAUUUAGAUGAUGAUACAUCAGGAAAAAAAUUCAGGCCGCAUUUUAUGGAAUUAACUUAAAAGAAAUCUAGGAUAGUGAAUGUAAUUUGCUGAGUCAAUAUAAGUAAUUACUGAAGUCUUGUCAUUGAAGCCUGACUUAGGCACAAAUUUUGAUACACAGCAUCUGGCAAGCCUAUAGACAUUUUGUGUUGUUGACAUUCUAUGCAUGCUCUUAAUAGAAUUUGUAAAAUUCCCUGACUUGGAAGUGCCAAAGAAGUUUAGCAUUUAUCAUUUACUCUGUCACCAUAAUGAAACUACUUGUUGAAGUUUACUAAUUAAAAUCCUCUUGGCCAGAUGUAGUAAAAUGUCAUUCAGACUACUUGAGGGCCUUUUGAAAUUUUAUUAGCCAUCAGGUGUAUCAUAGCCAGGUUAGUAUCAAACUUUUAGUUCUCAGGUCAAGCUCAAGACAAGUCCAGCCAAAACUAACAUAACAUAAUGCCACUCUUAUAUAAAUAUGCUCCGAGAAUCAUUUUUACAGGAUAGCACAGUCUUGUUCAAAUACAUGAGCAAUGUACAUGCAUGCAGGCACUCUUGCAUAUGUAUAUUUCUAUGCUACCAGUGUAGGCUUUGUUCAUUAUUAAAUUUUAGUUGU